UAGGUAGAGGCAAGAAGCUGUUAGGUGGAUGGCUUGGCUCUAUAGCUGAUGAAGGGCGUGGCAAGCUGCGAUAAGCCUCGGCGAGCCGCACGCAGGCUUAGAACCGAGGAUUCCUGAAUGCGACUUCGCAUUCCGCUAAGGAAUGAUCCGAAAGGAUCAGGAACGCCGGGAAUUGAAACAUCUUAGUACCGGCAGGAAAAGAAACCAACAGGGAUGCCCUGAGUAAUGGCGAAUGAAAGGGGCACAGGGCAAACCGAAGCUGUUCGCAGCAAUGCGAAUAGCGAUGUGGUGUGGUGGAUUGCCCGCAUGGCUUCUCUUUGGGAAAUCCGAAGUUCCCUGGAAUGGGACGCCAUAGAGGGUGAAAGCCCCGUAGGAGUAACUCAAAGAGAAGUCGGGCAAUUCCUGAGUACUGUCUACUGGAUACUAGGCAGGAAGCUGGGUGCCACCAACAUCCAACCCUAAAUACUCAUAGAGCCCGAUAGCGCACUAGUAGCGUGAGCGAAAGCUGAAAAGAACUCUUGCCGGAGAGUGAAAAGAGCCUGAAACCUAACAGCAACAGGAAGGUGCGGCUUUUCAGCUUUUCUGAGAAGUUGCACUGUCCGUUUCGAAUAACGGGCCAGGGAGUGUAGUUGAGUGGCGAGGGUAAUGUCUUGUGCAGACAAUACCCAUAGCGAAAGCAAAAAGCCCGCAGCAGCUUUUGCUGCAAGGGGCGAGGUUUGAAAGGGCCUCAAGUCACUCAGCUACGACCCGAAACCGGGCGAUCUACUCCUGGGUAGGAUGAAGCCUUCUUAGCAGAAGGUGAAGGUCCGAACCGGUGCUGCGGGCAAGCGUUCGGAUGACCUGGGAGUAGGGGUAAAAAGCCAAUCGAGCCUGGUGAUAGCUGGUUCCCGCCGAAAUUGGCCGUAGUCAAGUCCUUGCAGAGGUAGCUGAAGUGGUAGAGCUACGGAUUGGGAGUGUGGGUUCUGCAAAGGAUCGCCUCCUUGUCCAACUCCGAAUGCUUCAGCACCGUAGAAGCAAGGAAACAGGGGCUCGGGGUAAACUUGAGCUCCGAGAGGGGAACAACCCAGACUGCAGUUAAGGUCCCAAAGUGCCAGCUAAGUAUUAAAGGGUGAAGGGUGUCCGCGGCCUGAGACAGCGGGGAGGUUGGCUUAGAAGCAGCCACCCUUUAAAAAGUGCGUAACAGCUUACCCGUCGAGGUCGCGGGUCCCGAAAAUGGACGGGGUUAAGCUGGUCACCGAUACUGCAGAUCAGCUUCGGCUGUGUGGUAGGCGGGCGUCCUGCGAGGGCAGAAGCUUUCUCGCAAGAGAGAGUGGACCUCGUAGGAAUGAGAAUCCUGGCGGUAGUAGGAUCUUAGUGCCGUGAGAAUCGGCACCGCCGAAAGGGCAAGGGUUCCUUGGCAAUGCCGAUCAGCCAAGGGUUAGUCGGUCCUAACCUGCUUCCUAACAGGACAGCAGGGAAAGGGAAAGGCGUUAACAUUCGCCUACUGCCGAGGUAUGCGCGGCAACGCAAGUCUUGCUCCUGACGCUUCAGGUUAAGCUGACAUAGCUUGUCUGCUAUGUUAACCAGGAUAACUCUGGGGAGUUGCGUAAUGCAGAGAACCAGAGUAAACCUGGGAAUAGUCCUGUUAUGCAGGAUUCAGCUGAUUCCUGGAGCCCCUGAAAAAGGAGCAAGAAAAAAUCCUCGGCAACCGUACCCAGAACCAGCACAGGUGCCCCUAGCUGAGAAGGCUAAGGCGUGAAGGGUUAAUCCGGCUUAGGGAAAUCGGCAAAUUAGCCCUGUAUCUUCGGUAGAAGGGGUCCCUGCUUUCGUGUCCCCGAGAUGCGAAAGCAGGGCGCAGUGACAAGGGUGGCCCGACUGUUUAACAAAAACGCAUCCGACCGCAAGCCUGCAAAGGUGUGUAUGGUCGGUGACGCCUGCCCGGUGCCGGUAUCCGAACCCUCUGUCCAAGGAGGUUAAGGACCGGUAAACGGCGGGAGUAACUAUAACUCUCAGCCAAAUGCGGCUAAGGGAGUUGUAAAACCCGGCUAUAUGCUGGGAAGUUUGAGCUUCAGAAUCCUGAGCAAGGAAAAAAUUCUGAAGCGAUGAUGACAAUCAGCAGGAAACCAUCGGAGGUGGAAAAAUGCCUUUAUGGGAGUAUAAUGGAAUAAUAGAGCUUAGCAGAAUCCCAAAAAGAGGAAAAUACCUAAGAUAUUAUUUGUUGGGAUUCAUAGACGCAGAAGGUUGCUUUUCAGUAAGCAUUAAAAAACUAAAGACAGCGAAAUUCGGUUACGUGUUAGAUCCAGUAUUUACAUUGACACAGCAUAAACAAAACAGGGUGGUUCUAGAAUUGCUGAAGAAAACACUAAAUGCAGGAAGGAUAAUUGAAAAAUCAGGCCAAAAAAAUCUUUUAGUGUUUGUCAUCGAUAACAGAAGAUUACUUAAAGAGAAAUUAAUUAACUUCCUUGACAAAUAUAAACCAAUAGUAAAAUGGAACGAUUAUCAGAAGUUCAGAGAAAUUAUUUUAGCUAUGGAAAGAAAGGAACAUAGAACACGCGAGGGUUUUGAACGUUUAGUAAAGCUGGCAUAUAAAAUGAACAUGGAAGGUAAACAACGACGUUACAAACUCAAGGAAAUUUUUCCUCUGAUGGGAUCCUCAGAGACCGUACGCCGGGCAUCUCCUGAUUAAUGAAGGAGAUGAAGAUACGGUCCGGCUCUUACGAGCUGCUUAAGGUAGCGAAAUGCCUUGCCGGUUGAAUGCCGGCCUGCAUGAAGGACGUAACGAGGUCGCCACUGUCCCAAGCCGGAUCCCGCCGAACACCCUGCCAGGUGCAAAUGCCUGGGAUCCCCAGUGGGAAGCGAAGACCCCGUGGAACUUUACUGUAGCCUGCCGCUGCAGUGCAAGCAGUGUUGCAUAGUGUAGGUGGGAGCUGUUUGAGGAUGCUGUUUUUGGACAGCAUCUUAGGCGCCAAUGUAACACCACCCUUCACUGUUUGUGCUGCUUACUUCCGAAAGGAAGGACACCGGUAGGUGGACAGUUUGGCUGGGGCGGCACCCCGCUGAAAAGAUAUCAGCGGGGCCCAAAGGUCAGCUCACCCGGGUUAGAAAUCCGGGGUAGAGUGCAAGGGCAAAAGCUGGCCUGACUGUGUUCUUACUAAGAUAGAACGCAGGGCAGAAAUGCUGGCCUAGCGAACCUCAGUGUGCCCCUUGGUGGGGCCCUGGGAUGACCAAAAAGUUACCCCGGGGAUAACUGAGUCGUCGCGCCCGAGAGCUCACAUCGACGGCGCGGCUUGCUACUUCGAUGUCGGCUUUUCCUAUCCUGGCUCUGCAGAAGGAGCCAAGGGUGCGGGUGUUCACCGAUCAAAAGGGAUCAUGAGCUGGGUUCAGAACGCUGUGAGGCAGUUUGUUUGAUAUCUACUGGGGAUGUUGGGUGCCUGAGAGGAAGGAAGCUCUAGUACGAGAGGAACGAGCUUUCGGCGCCUCUGGUCUACCGGAUGUCCGACAGGGCAAAUCCGGGCAGCCACGCGCCAUAGGGAUAAGUCCUGAAGGCAUCUAAGGACGAAGCCCUCCUCAAAAAGAGGCACCUUUUGGGCCCUCCUUAAAACAGGAGGUUGAUGGAGCUGAUGUGUAAGCGCCGAGCUUCGGCGAGGCGUUCAGCAUGCAGCUCCCAACAGCCCAAGCCUCUACUUA
Molecule: ribosomal RNA, 3666 nt
Filed under: Candidatus Woesearchaeota archaeon
Lineage: Archaea; Nanobdellati; Candidatus Woesearchaeota
Description: 23S ribosomal RNA
Rfam family: Archaeal large subunit ribosomal RNA
Source: RNAcentral